CUGAGAGACAGUAAAUGUGAACCACUUUUAAAUGCCAACCUUGCUUUAAAUGGUGCUUUGACAACACACAGAAAACUAUUUAUUUUGGGACUUAUGGGACUUCUACAGAGUUGGUGCAAAUACAAUGAAAAUUAUAAUAUUUACAUUAUCUAUAAAUAAAACAGUAAAGAAAACCAAGUACCACCAGGAACACAAGUCAAAAAGGAGUAGGAAUAAACAAGAUAAUUAAUACAUGUAUUGGUAUUUUUUUCCUUAAUAAACAAUGAAGUCCUUGGUAUACACAUAUUUGCAGAUAUGUAUAAACAUGCAAAACACAGAGAAAAUGACAAUGUUUACUGAGUUCCAUUUCCCAAAAUACUACUAACAGGAAGCAGUCAAAGGUUUUACAGAAAGGUUUCUUGGGUUCAUAGCUAGCUUUCCUUAAGAGAGUGAGUUAGGUCCUAGAAAGGCACAAAACCACUCAGAUAAGAUUUUCUAGAGAUAAAAUUAUUCACAAAAUACAGCUUUUCAGACAGAAACUUAACACUACAUGUAUGAAAUUGUACACAUGAAUAUGUGUAUUCUUGCUCACUCACCCAAAACAUACAAUCUUCACUAAAAAUGUGACCUCAUUAUCUAUCAGUCAGUAGAAAGGUGACUCUUGAUAAAUGGAAGUUGAAAAAUAUCAGCCUCAAGUGUUUGAGGAGGCAGAGGGAAUUACAUAUUUUGGUUCUUAAGUUUCCUCAGGAUUAUUUUUUGACAGUUCAUUCAAAAUUAAUGGAGAUUCCUCUUAGUUCUUUGGAUUCAAAAUAAAAAACCCUUUCUUUUCCCCAGAAUCUCCUACCUAUAAAAUGCAAAUGUUUCCAUUUCUAAUCUUCAAAGUAAAUUACAACUAAUGAAAGGGUAAUGCAAAAAGUUUUGCUAGGCUCCUCCCCAUAGACACAGGAUUUUAAAAAGUCUAUUUUUCCUGCAGACAUCUUAAUUUAUUUAUUGUAAUGGUAUAUAUAUAUAUAUUUUAAAUACACUUGUGAGGGAAUGAACUUACUGAUUAAGCAAGAUUUGAAAAGUGAAGGUAAUUUUAGUAAAAUCAAUAAAGAUUUCUCUGGGAUUUGAGAAACCUGAAAUGAAUGACCUGGAAUCCUUAAAUUGCUUACAGUUCCCACAAUGUUGGCAGGAAAUAAUAAAAUGCAUUUGAAAAAUUGCACACAAUUUUCAUUAAGUACUGUUAGAACUCAGGCAUUCCAUUUCUGCCCAAUUGAAAAAAAGGAAAUAUAAACUGUAUCAUUCUUUAUAGAGUAUAUAUAAGGCUGAAGAAGAGUUCCAGUCACUGAGAGCUAUGCAAAAUGAGACAAUUCUUUGUUUCCUGCUGGUAUUAUAUAUUCAGCUUGAAGGAAGGCCUACUGGAAUGGCUUUGGAGAGGUGUAUUUGGUUUUUCAGUGGACCACUACUGCUCAGUUUGGUUAGAUAAGAGAUGUAGAUUCUGGAAGUGGCAGGCUGUGUGUCAGGAUUCAUAGAUUAGACAGGAUGUGUUUAUGCAUUGCUGCAUUUGCAGCCUUUCAUAAAAAUGGGUAUAAAGGCACCAUUUCUUAGGCUAGUACCAACAGAUUAGAGAAGAUGUUGAGGUCUCUACUUAGCUUGAACUGUUUGGCCUAGGAAGUCUGCAAAGUGCUUGCCAGGUUUUUUACAUCUUUAUCAGUAAGUUUUGUAAUAUCAGCAAGGAAAACUCAUGACCAUUAACUAAAACUUUUAGUUCUCUAGGCUUUAUCAGCAAAUACCCGCUCUUGAGUAUGUGUUUAGGCUUUACACCUGAGCUGCUGAUAAGUGAUUUCCAAAAGCCCUGUGUGACUGCCUUUUUCCAUUUGCAUUGUAGUCAGGGAAAACUUACCUUCGAGUUUUAAUACAUCCUUCACAAGGCUGAUUUAAGGGAUCUCCAGAAAUGUCUUUAUGGGCACUGCUUCUCAAAAUAUUUUUUUUCACAACCCACCAGUAACUUCCUUAUGAAGUGUGUGCUUUGACACAGAUUAAGAAAAUGUGGAAAUCAAUGAGACAGAUUCUACUGAUUUUGCUGAGAACAGAGUCAGGUAUUUAACGUUUUGGAAAUGUCAGGCCAAGAGUGUCAGAGACAGCUGAAAGCCUGUCAGAACACUGCUCCUGGACUCUCAACUCCUUAUCACCAGAGCAGGUACCUAGACUUGCUUGCAUAGUAGUGACCAAGACUGGAAUGACCUAUUGCGUUAAAAAGAGAACUAAUGGAAGAAGGUCGUCACACCAAAUUAUGAUCAACUCCUUUUUAAGGCUAUGGAAAAAAGUUGUGAAAAAAAGCCCAUUAGUUGUAAUUUUUGUGUUGGUAAGGAGAACAUUCUGAACCAUACAACCUUUUGGAAAUUUUCAGAAAUCAUGCAGAGCCCUUCAGCAGACAGGGAUGUGCUCAGUUGUCAUUUGUCAUACAGCUAAUUAGGAAGAGGAGCUGAGAAGCUAGCUGUUAGUUAGAAAUGCCAGAGGCUAUGUAUGGAUAUGCCUACACUGUAACUCAGGUACUAAGCCUGUCUUCAUGCUCUGAUCUCUAUUAAUUUUCCUCUGUGGAAACCAUAGGUUUGAGCUGCACUUUGGAAGAAAUCAAGCCUGCCCUGAGAUGAAGUCCACUAAUUAUUUUGGGGAUAAUUUAUUUUCAGAAAAUUCAGCUUGUUCAGCUCUAUGCAGUUUUUCUAUGUAAUUCUAACAAAUUUGUUCUCUUGACUACCCUCUCACUAACUCAUAACAUGCUCUGUGGUGUGCAUUACUUACACAUUAUGAUAUAAAGACACCUCUGCAGCAGGCUGAAAUGUUCUGAAAGGUCACAACAUAAAAUAAUUUUGUCUUAGGCCAUGGGGGCUUUGUGUGAGCUCUGGAUGAGACAGAAGAUGAGGUGCUCCAGAGUAUCGCCCUGAGCAGUAUGGAUGUAAGUCACUCCGUGCCACCUGGUGUAGGAUUGCUCCUUGAGGGGAAGUCUGUAGUAAUGUGGCUGUAGCUACAUUAUUGCUACAGUGAUAAAAUUGAGAGUUCCUAAACCAAGAAAGAAACAGAGGAAUUUUAAAUGAUACUCAGAAGCAUCAGUAAGAUCUUAGGAAAGAAAAAAUAUUUACAAUCUAUUCAGACAAUAAAAGGCAUAAUGGAUGAAAAGCACACCAGUUGGAUAAAAGAAGCUCAUUCUACUUCUGCCAAUUCUUCAUUGUAAUGUGCCUCAACCAGGGUCCAAAUAAAGAUUUGCUCCACCAUAAUUCCUGCAUUCAGUUACCAUUGAAAUGUAUUUAUUGCUGGUGGUUUGCAGCCAGCCUUUGAAAGUGCCUCAUUUUUAUAUUAUUUUGUCAGAAAAAGCCAUAAUUUAACUUUGUUUUGCAAGUGUUUUGACAGACCAAGUAAGGCUUUCUUUAUUUUGCUGUCCAGCAGUUGUGUGAGUCCCUUGCAGAACAUUUGGCAUCCGAACACUUGAGCGUUAAAUGCGGUAUCUUUUCUCCUUGAGCAGGGUGAUGUGCGCUGAAGGCUCAGCCCUCCUUCCUUCCUUCCUUCCCAUAUCCCAGAUCCUUGGAGAGAGAAGAGGCAGAGCAGUACCUCGAGCCAGCUUUGCUUCAGAGACACUGUAGGAAGGACUGAGCCAUUCUGGCAGAAAUGAAGAACGAUUAUUCUUUCUGUUGUUGAACUUUUUCUUCAAGGAAAAGACAUUGACCAGGGUAAUGAAAGAUCUUGAACUUUAGACCUGCUGCAUCCAGCACAUAUGCCACAAUCUGGGAUAUGCCACCAGCUAUAGGAAGAAACCUUUGUGAAAAUGGAAGAUGUGCUACAAACGCAUUUUUUCAAUUUUUUCAAUUAUUUUUCAAGAAUUUCUGCUUCCCAGAGAGAUUUGACAUUCCUGCUUCAGCACCAGCUGGGGUGCGGCAGGCAGUCUGGCCAGGAGCAUUGGCAGAAAUGUGGGCAAAUACCAAAUGAAAUCUCUUCAUUGCUGUGUGUGGCCUUCUAGCAACCUGUGGGAUGGCGAUGCGAUGUGGUGGCCCGUGGGAGCUCCCUGCAGCAGCAAGUUCCUCUACAGGAAGGCUUUUGAGUAGUUUCUGUAUCUCUCCUGAAGAAAUAGCUAUGGUUGAAGAUGGUUAGAAGACAGCAAAGAAUACCCUCUGCACAAACACAGCAUGAUAGCAACCUGAAGUUGCUUUGAAGAAGCUGCAUGCGCUGUGGAGAUAUUGUAUGGUUGGCUGCUGCCAAAUGGAAUCAGUGGAUGAAGUAACAGCCAGAAUCUGAAACUGCUCUUCAAGAGACAUCAGAUUUUGUUUUCUCUGAUUUUUCCAUUUUUUUUCUGCUUUCAGCAUUCCAUCCUUUGAAUCAUUUAAGAAGUCUGAAUUUCAAAACCAAAUACUCACAGAGAAAGUCAGUCAAUUCUGAUCUAUAGCUAGGAAACAGCAGCCAUUUCUUCCAGAUGAAUGCAUCACUCUAUGCUUAUCUUUUCCUUGUCCACUUCCUCAGCCACAGCUGGACACAGGACAAGGAAGAAUGCCAGGCACAUAGGUGCAUCUACUUCUCCUUGUGAGCAAACCUACCUACCAGAGUACAUCCCAUCUCUGCUACCAUACUGCAUUACUCUGAAGAAAUCUCCUUUGAGUCACCCCAAAACAUCAAAUCUACAGGACUUUGGAGAAGGGACUUUGGUCUUUUUUUAUAACAGCACUUGGGUUCAUCCUGUCAGUCUGUACUAUUUUGAAAAGGGAUAUUGAGGACAAAGGGCUGUAUUCAUUAAGUGAUUUGGACAGUCUUAUUUACACGGUGAUUUCUUUUUCAAUGGAGUCACAACCAUAUUGACCCAUGACAUUUCUGCUGAACAACCAGAUGAGUGCCAAUUCAGUUCAGGGAGAUCAGGGGUGCUGUCCCAGACUGUCUUAAUACAAAUUUCCAGCUCUUUCCAGCAUACAAAAAUUCCAGUCUUGCAUCUCACUAGAUUAAAGGCUGCAAGCCUUGACAGUGUGACUUCAGGUUUCCUUGAGUGCUAUACUGCAAGAGCAGCCAAUAGGAAGGCAGCAACAGACUAACAGGAAAUAAAUUGCAACUCCUACAUGAAUUUCUUUCCUAGUCUGCAUAAAUUACUGAUGCACUAGUAUAGCGUUAAAGAGUGGUUGCUUGACUGUUAUCCACUGGUAGAUAUCAAGAUUCUGGGUGCAAUGACUGACCUGCUCCACCUGCACCUGACAGUGCUCCUCUGCCUGUGCUGCUCCUCUUCCCCUAAGGAUAUCCCUCCAAAGUUAAGUGUCUUGUAGGAGAUUGAACCAAACUCGAGUGCAAUGCCAGUCUAGGUGAUUGACUAUAAGUGAUACUUAGUGUUUAUUAGCAGUAAAGAUUUUUCAGGAACUAUACACAUUGUAAACCAGCAAGUCUCUCUUUCUUCCUGGUUCUCAAUCAGAAUGUGCCACACACACACACACACACACACACACACACACACACACACACACAUGCAAAAGAGACCAGAUUAAUUUCAGGAGUGCCCAAACAUCAUUGAGUGUGCUGGAAAAUGGCAUCAAUGCAAGGCUGAUACCAUGACUGUUAUUGCAUUUGAGUGUUGCCAUCACUAGAGAAAUGCUCUAACCUGGUAAUUCAGGAAUGGGAACUAAACCAUUUUAGCCAGCUUGUUAUCAAGACACUAUAUAUUCACUGUAGGCUACUUCAUCAGCAUCUUAUUAGAAACAGGGUUGGAGGUUUGCCAUGUCUUGGUGGUGCUUUAGAGUCCAUGAUUGCUUCUGAACCAUAUGAAGCAGUUCUGUCAAAAGACAUCAAAAGCGGAAAGAUGCAAAUAGGAUCAAGUAAGGGGGAAAGAAUCCCCAGAACCCAACCCUUUGGUUAUGCUGGGGGUCCUUUUCCUUUGCUUUCUGCACAUUUAGAAAGUGGCUGAUGUGAUACAUUUUACAAAUAAAUAAUAAUACAUGCACAAGAGCUAGGAACAUCUUGUACACAGAUAUGAGUCAGUACUUGGCAUGUGGCUAAUGGGAGUCAGAUUUCCCAGACAAUAAUUACAUUUUCAAAAUAAGAAUUAAAGAGACAAGAAAAAAAGGAGUUAUUCCCAUUAGCUGAGAGUGUGAGCUCUGAAGUGAAAUUAAAUUUGCUUUCCACAUAAUUGAUUGUACAUCACUUCAGAGGUUGCCUGCAAAAAACAUUCAACAAUGAUAAGUUGGAUCUUGCAAGGACUUCACUUACUAAAUGGGUGCAGGUUAAAUGACUACUUGUUUCUCUCCUCCAAGCUGUCCAGCCAUUUCUGAUCUGAAAACUGUAAGCACAUGACAGUAAUAUCAUAUAGUGUUCAAACAUCCUAUGAAAAUGUCACAAGAGGACCCAACUAUCAGUGUAGUUAGCCAAGGAGGACAGCAUGUGGCACACCAAUUGCUUAUUUGUUACUGUGGAUCAGAAAAACUUUUCCAUAUCAUGACUUUUCCAUAUCAAAUUGAGGACUAUGAAUUCAGGCAUGUCUGCUACUUCUGUGGAAAACAGCACUAAGCUUUCUCUUAGCCUUGAGGAAUCGUGACUUGGGCUUACAGUGCAUUUCCUAAUUUCAUCAUAAAGAGACAGAUGUGGCCAGAACCACAGAGCUAUAGGUGGGAUAUGAUUCUGUACAUUGCAGUUUGACUUUUAAUUGCUGCUUAUUUCAAUGUUUGGUUAUUUCUAUCAGAAUCAGUCUUUUUAAAAGGUCUUUGAAAACUGUCUUUUCAAAAAUAUGAGAAGAUGCUUGCCUUUGGUAAAAAAUCUGCCUAUCCGUCUGCCUGUUUACAUGCUGGUCUGUUUAUCUACUAUUCUAAAUACUGCAAGCUAUGGAAAAGUAGAAUUUCAGUAGUCAGAACACAUUAAUUUUGGGGCAAAAGUAUGCUUCAAAGUUUGUGUUCAAAUUUCCUGAUGAAAAGGCAUACUCCCAUGUUGACCUCUGUCUUUUGUAAUGAAACAGAUCUCUUCUUCAGGUAAGGAGGCUAUGUUGUGUCCUGGAAAAUGUACUUAAACCAAAGAACUCUGUCUAAAGAGGGGAAUAAGACCAUAAACCCCCAAGCAUGUUAGUAUUAUGUUACCACUUCUAUUUUCAGGGAGGUAUUUUAGUAUAUAUAUUUCUAUAUAUUUCAGGGAGGUAUAUAUUUUAGUAUUUAAUAUUUUUUGUUAAUUUGUCUCCAAAUUUUCUGUCAAAAAUUUUUGCUUUCUUCUUCAACUCCAGUUCUCAAGGCAGCUGCAGGUGCUUACUCUGUUUGGUUGCUUCAUGCAGGAUAGGGGUAGGCCAUGGAAAAGUGUGAUCCAUAUAGUGUUGGAUUUUCUCAGAAGCUGCAUCUGUGGGCCACAGGAACAAUGUUAGGCUACAUCCGUCAAAGGAUUUUCUUAAGCUUCUAGCUGCAGUUUGUCCAGGAUGUUAUAAUAUUUUUCUGUAAUAUUGUCCUUUAACAUGCAUGCAUCAAUCCAAAGACAGAUGUGUGGGUAAAAACCACAUCUCCAUGAGAGCCAGAUAUCACCACAAAACCAGUGAGAUGAGAUGCUUUCCAAGUCACACAAGUGCCAUACCAUGAGAUGGGCCAAUAGCUCAGAACAGGAUAUAUUUUUUUAUUAAUUUCAAUAGGAGAAAAGGGGAUUUAGUGAGAAAAAAAGUGCAGAAGCAAGCAGACAGAUUAUAUAUAUAUUUUAAAAAAAAACAUACUUAUAAAGGUACUUUACUAGAAAAGUGAGAUUAAAUAUUACAAGUCAUGUGUUAUGGUACUUGAAGACUAAAACAAAGAAAUUUUUUUGUAUGCACAGCUUCCUUUUUCUAAGUAAAUUCCUGGGGAUAUUUAGAGCAUUACAACUUCCAGUUGUUUCCCGUGACUGAAAGCUUCCAGGUUACCCACCCACUGUUAAAGGAAGUGCUUGUCUUGGCAGAAAGCAUCACUGUCAGUUCAGUCCUGUCUGGGGCCAAUGGGAAACUUCUGGUUGUCCAACAUACAGCUGGAUUGAGUUCUGAGAGACUUAACUUCCUGAGGCUCAUGAGGACAUGGAAAUUGUCAAGCAUACACUUGUCUUUGGAGUCAUCAUGCACAUGACAGAUAUCAUAAGAAACAAAUUUGGGCUGCAACUUGGACAUACCCAAGGGAGAAGGGGCAGUCUUUAUGCGUUUGGUGCUCAAGGCCCCUCAUGUGGCUGUGAGAACAAUUUCCUGAGGUGCUGAGUUCAUCCUGCCCAGGGAAAAUACACCCAGGGUUCACUGGAAGCCUGUAGAAAGAUUCCAGAAUCACAGAAUGUGUCAGGUGGAAGUGGUCCAGCUUGUCCAACUUCCUUGCUCAGUCACAGUCAUGAUAAAGCAGAUGACAAAGGAUUGUGUCAGGAAGUUCUUGAAUAUCUCCAGUGGGGGAGAUUCCACCCACAAGAGAGAUGUUCCAGUCCCUUCACUAUCCUUAUUACCCUCUGCUGGACCUGCUCCAGGGACUCCUCAUCUUUCUAGUACUGAGGAGUCUAGAACUGGACACUCCAGAUGUGGCCUCAACAGAGUUGAGUGUAGGGAUCACCUCCCUUGUCCUGCUGGCAGUGGCUUUUCUAACACGCCCCAAGGUUCUGUUGGCCUUCUUGGCCACAAGGGCACACUGCUGGCUCAUGGACAGCCCCAGGUCCCCCACCACUGCUGCUUUCCAGCAGGUUGGGCCCCAGCAUUGAGGCCAAGUUGGCUGUGAGGGUCUGUUGCUUGUUUGCUUUUGGCCUCUCUGCAGAUGCAAGCUGUUCAGUGGGAAUACACCCUCCAUGGCAUGAAGUAGUAUCUCUGUUUCUGGGCUCCAGAUACAAGAAGACAUAAUAUAAAAAGUGUGUUAUAAAAAGAACAAAAUAUUGACCUGUUCCUGUGGUGAAUGGGCGUGAGCAGGCUCAAAGUGCUGUGCUGUUACUUUUCCUGAUCCCUCAAUAGAGAUCACUGUUCCUAAAAACAAACAAACAAGAAGCUAAUUUAAAGCAUUUCAAAUCUAGUUAUCUUUGAGCUUCAGAAGACUGGACACCAACUAGUUCUGUAUCAGGAGUGUGAUGUCCAGUUCUGAUUUUAAAUCAUAGCUUAUAUUGUCAUGGACAUUUAGGGUAAGAUUUAUCUUGCCCUAGUUCUCAACAAGUUACUUCAUCCUAACAGAAUUGCCCAGUUCAUGGGAAGUCUGCUCUCAGAUGUCCUUGAAGAAUUUCUUAAUCAUCUGGCUUUUGGAAAACUUGUUUUCCACAGCUUCUGUUAGAGAAUUAUGCAAUGAGGAAUCCAACACUCACUGGGCCAGAAAGAGAGGGAGAGGGAGCACAACACUUAAGGGUUAGCAGGCUGCAGGGCAGUUUCUAUAUUUUACCCAAUGUUUGUGUAAAGUUACUCACUCUUCUUUGGGCAUCAACCGAAAUCUUGGGGAAAGCAAGUGCCACCUGUGCCAUCUGACUUGCUCUAGGCAGCUGUAAAUGAUGGAGUACACAUGGUUUGGUGUUCAGUUCUCAGGUGCCUGGCUCUGCUGAGGCCUAGUAAAAGGAAACUGGAGACCUAAGCUUUUGAGCACAGCCAGAAAAAUCUAGUGUUGCAACAAUACCUGUACUUCAAAAAGCUUAGUUUUGCUUUUGUAUCUAAUGUCCACUCUGAUCCAUACAUAUUGCCUGUGUCCUAAGCUUGUAUGUAUUUCUUUAUCUCCAACCUUUUGACUCCUGCUCCCUUACAGGAUUAUUUUUAUUUAGACCUACAGCCUUUAACAAGCAAACAUUUUUUGGCUGGACUGAGUUCUAUAUCAAAAUGCCUUUUCCUUUUGCUACAAAAAUUUGUAUUUCUCUCUAAUAUCUCUUCCCCUUCAGGGUCACUUGAAGGGUAAAAUGUCUACUAGUACCAAAUGCAGUUUUGGUAAUGAGGUACUGGUGCAGAAUAAACACUUCUCCACAGCAUUUGUGUACUUCAAACCAUUCCUCAUUAAUACAGUUUGUUCUAAAUUGAGCAUAAGGUUGUAACUGGAGACCAUUACACUAGAGUCUAUUAAUACUGGGUCAGAUUCUACAGCCCUGACUACAUCCAAAAAGUCCUUACUUGCACCAGCAAGUUCUGUUUAAAGUAAUGGUAAUUUAAUUCCUUUUUCACUGCCUAAUCUGGCCCACAUUUAGGGAUGCAACAACAUUUUUUACAGCAUUGGUAAGAUGAUAAAAAACUUUAUAGAAAAAAAAAUUAAGCUCUUGAAGAAAGUGAUAGCUGAUGUCAUAAGUAUCAUUCUUUCCAAAUCCUUCUUAUAGCAGUGUAGAGUGGAGAUCUUCUGCUGAAAUGGUUGCCAGAAUUUUCAGUUUCACACGUCUUUGUCAAGGGGUUAUAACCUUCCUAACAGUAGUUUGAGCAGAAGGUUGUUGUGAAAGUGUCUUUUCCUAUCUUGGAAGAGUGAUAUUGGAUUGAAAUUGAAAACUAAAAUAACUGUUAAUAUUUUUUAGGUACUUUUCUGAGACAUUUGUUCAUGUAUUAAAAUGACAUGUGGAAGCAGUUAGCAAAAUGUUCACUUUAAAAAGAAGGAAGCAUAGAGUGGAGAAGGACAAGCAGUAUCUUUCUUCACCCUUUUAACUACUCUAAGAAAUCUGUUUUUAGCAGUGAUAUGUGUUGUGUCAGCACCACAGAGGGGCUUGAGUCCUGUGUAAAUGGAGGCAUCUGCUCUACCUCUUUUAAAAGACCUGGCACUCUCUGUUUCUGUUGAAUGGAGGGCUCUCAGCCUCUCUCCUGGGGUCACACAUAAAGCCAAGAGUUAAUCACACAUCCAGAAAGACACGCUGCUGCAUGACAGCCUGUGUGUGCAGUCCCUGUGUUCCCACCUUGUCUUCUGUCAGUGCUGUGCUUUCAUUUAAAUCUUUCUUGUGAGUUUUUUUUUGGGUUUUUUUUUUGCAUUGUAUUUGUAAAAAGGG
Parus major (Great Tit) is the source of this 10863-nucleotide long non-coding RNA. RefSeq lists it as uncharacterized. NCBI's taxonomy places the organism in Eukaryota, Metazoa, Chordata, Aves, Passeriformes, Paridae. The transcript has 2 exons. The record is from RefSeq and is a predicted model, not a curated record.